CCUACGGGAGGCUGCAGUGAGGAAUAUUGGUCAAUGGACGAGAGUCUGAACCAGCCAAGUAGCGUGAAGGAUGACUGCCCUAUGGGUUGUAAACUUCUUUUAUAUGGGAAUAAAAUGUUCCACGUGUGGGAUUUUGUCUGUACCAUAUGAAUAAGGAUCGGCUAACUCCGUGCCAGCACCCGCGGUAAUACGGAGGAUCCGAGCGUUAUCCGGGUUUUUUGGGGUUAAAGGGAGCGUAGGUGGAUUGUUAAUGGAGUUGUGAAAGUUUGCGGCUCAACCGUAAAAUUGCAGUUGAAACUGGCAGUCUUGAGUACAGUAGAGGUGGGCGGAAUUCGUGGUGUAGCGGGGAAAUGCUUAGAUAUCACGAAGAACUCCGAUUGCGAAGGCAGCUCACUGGACUGCAACUGACACUGAGGCUCGAAAGUGUGGGUAUCAAACAGGAUUAGAUACCCGUGUAGUC
RNAcentral lists this ribosomal RNA (460 nucleotides) under uncultured bacterium. Its description in RNAcentral is "partial 16S ribosomal RNA". It matches the Rfam family "Bacterial small subunit ribosomal RNA", at positions 338 to 795 of the family's 1533-position model. The record is from RNAcentral.